CCUACGGGUGGCAGCAGUGAGGAAUAUUGGUCAAUGGGAGGAAUCCUGAACCAGCCAUGCCGCGUGCAGGACGACGGCUCUACGAGUUGUAAACUGCUUUUGUACCGGGGUAAAAUGCUCUACGAGUAGGGUUUUGAAAGUACGGUACGAAUAAGGAUCGGCUAACUCCGUGCCAGCAGCCGCGGUAAUACGGAGGAUGCGAGCGUUAUCCGGAUUUAUUGGGUUUAAAGGGUGCGUAGGCGGACUGUUAAGUCAGCGGUAAAAGCCCGGGGCUCAACCCCGGCGAGCCGUUGAAACUGGCUGUCUUGAGAUGUCGAGAGGUAUGCGGAAUGCGCAGUGUAGCGGUGAAAUGCUUAGAUAUUGCGCAGAACUCCGAUUGCGAAGGCAGCAUACCGGCGGCGAUCUGACGCUGAGGCACGAAAGCGUGGGUAUCGAACAGGAUUAGAUACCCCUGUAGUC
This 459-nucleotide ribosomal RNA is filed under the name uncultured bacterium. RNAcentral's name for it is "partial 16S ribosomal RNA". It matches the Rfam family "Bacterial small subunit ribosomal RNA", at positions 338 to 795 of the family's 1533-position model. The record is from RNAcentral.